GGUGACCAGCGGAGGGAUCAUUAAAGAGUUCUAUAACUCCCAAACCCAUGUGAACAUACCUAACGUUGCCUCGGCAGGUCGCACCUACCUUGUAGCACCCUACCCUGUAGGGCCUACCCGGGAGGUGCGGGUAAGCCUGCCGGCGGCCCACCAAACUCUGUUUGAUAUUGAAUUCUGAACCUAUAACUAAAUAAGUUAAAACUUUCAACAACGGAUCUCUUGGUUCUGGCAUCGAUGAAGAACGCAGCGAAAUGCGAUAAGUAAUGUGAAUUGCAGAAUUCAGUGAAUCAUCGAAUCUUUGAACGCAUAUUGCGCCCAUUAGUAUUCUAGUGGGCAGGACCGUUCGAGCGUCAUUUCAACCCUUAAGCCUUCGUUGCUUAGUGUUGGGAGCCUACGGCAACGUAGCUCCUCAAAGUUAGUGGCGGAGUUGGUUCACACUCUAGACGUAGUAAUUUUUUAUCUCGCCUAUUAGUUGGACUAAUCCCCUGCCGUAAAACCCCCAAUUUAUCAAGGUUGACCUCGAAUCGGUUCAGACAAACUCGCUAAAUUGAAGCAUCUUAGUCAGCGAAGGAAAAGAAACCAACAGGGAUUGCCCUAGUAACGGCGAGUGAAGCGGCAACAG
RNAcentral lists this ribosomal RNA (622 nucleotides) under fungal endophyte. Its description in RNAcentral is "eukaryotic LSU rRNA". The stretch from base 200 to 353 matches the Rfam family "5.8S ribosomal RNA". The record is from RNAcentral. Lineage: Eukaryota; Fungi.